This 92-nucleotide small nuclear RNA is filed under the name Musa acuminata subsp. malaccensis (wild Malaysian banana). Lineage: Eukaryota; Viridiplantae; Streptophyta; Magnoliopsida; Zingiberales; Musaceae. The record is from RNAcentral.
GUCUCUUCGGAGACAUCUAAUAAAAUUGGAAUGAUAUAAAGAAGAUUAGCAUGAGGAUGACACGCACAAAUUGAGAAAUGAUCUAAAUUUAA